Molecule: non-coding RNA, 762 nt
Organism: Xyrichtys novacula (pearly razorfish)
Lineage: Eukaryota; Metazoa; Chordata; Actinopteri; Labriformes; Labridae
Source: the annotation of a GenBank genome assembly
CUGUAUCCGCCAUUCUGGAUGAGCGUAGCUGAUUGUAACCAUUCAAGUUAAUGUGUCAAUUUCCACCGGCUUCUUUCCAUUUCAGGCGGAUCGUAUGUCAUACCCUGCAAAUGGGCGGAGACGAACAAAUGAACGAACAAGCAUUUCAUCCAGAUGACACCAUGGAUGAGGAGAUGCUGAUUCUAGAAGUCUAGAAGUAGAUUUCCUCCUCUGGAAGGACACAAUCUACUGCUUAUAUGGUUAGCCUAUGUGGCUAGAGACGAUUUGUUAUCAUGUGAUUGUACCUGAAUCUGUGGAUUCUUGUCAUGAAAUUCACCUCACAAACAGAUCUGGUAGGAAAUGGCGGAAGGCGAAAACCGCUGCGGUUCCGGAUUGGAGCCAUUCCAGAUGCUGUGAAAAUUGGGGGUUAGACGCUGUCCAACGUCGAAGAUGUGACUCCACCCCAUCCAGUCUGUAACAAAGAGGGAAAGACAGGUGAGGAGAUGGAGGACGGUUCAAAAGUUUUUAGCGUUGUAGACAAAGUUAAUGUGGGAGAGGGUAAGUAGCUUGUGGAGUAGUUAUCAUCCAUUUAUUGUUAUCGAGGUGAACUGAUCAAUAUAUCCUGAUAUUGAUUUGAGGUCAUAUCAUCCAGCCUUACACUGAGCCACAGCCACCCCCUGAUUCUCCAUGUGGUAGACCCCUGACCUGUCCAGGAUGUACCCUGCCUCUCACCCGAUGACAGCAGAAAUAGCCUUCAUGACUUCCAGAUGGUUUGAACUGGAC